This 1364-nucleotide ribosomal RNA is filed under the name Ostreococcus lucimarinus CCE9901. RNAcentral's name for it is "eukaryotic LSU rRNA". The stretch from base 635 to 1364 matches the Rfam family "Eukaryotic large subunit ribosomal RNA", at positions 1 to 840 of the family's 3401-position model. The record is from RNAcentral. Lineage: Eukaryota; Viridiplantae; Chlorophyta; Mamiellophyceae; Mamiellales; Bathycoccaceae.
UGUCGUAACAAGGUUUCCGUAGGUGAACCUGCGGAAGGAUCAUUGCUAAGAUCGAUUCACUCCCGUGAAUUCGUGUCGUCUUGGGGGGCGCCAAGGGGGGCGAGAGAGAUAUCCAUCUCUCUCGCUUUCCUCGGCCGCCCUCACACACACCCACACACUCCAAACACACAACACACACUGAAGCCGAGUAGGCGGCGCGGGAGCUCACGCUCUUCGCGGACGCCGAUCCACAUUGAUAACUCUCAACAACGGAUAUCUUGGCUCUCGCAACGAUGAAGAACGCAGCUAGAUGCGAUACGUAAUGCGAUCUGCAAACAGUACGCGAGUCAUCAAAUUUUUGAACGCACAUUGCGCUCGAGGCUUCGGCCGAGAGCAUGUCUGCCUGAGCGUCAACCGAAACCCUCAUCUCCCAACUUCGGUUGGGGAGCAUGGACCUGGCCGUCCCGGAACUUCGUCGUCGAAGGUCCGGGUCGGCUGAAGCGCAGAGGCGCGGGCGUCUAGGGCCUUUCCGCGAAAGCGAAAGGCCUGCUCGGAACCGGCGUGGUAAGUUCCUUCGGAACCUCUUCCGCCGGGCUCCUGUGGGCGCAUCGCGGCCCGCCCUCCCAUUCGGGAGGGCGACCCAUCUCUUUACUUCCGACCUCAGAUCAGUCAAGGCUACCCGCCGAAUUUAAGCAUAUUACUAAGCGGAGGAAAAGAAACUAACAAGGAUUCCCCUAGUAACGGCGAGUGAACCGGGAAGAGCCCAACUUGAAAAUCCAUAGGCAGCGCCUAUCGAAUUGUAGUCUAGAGAGGCUGCCUCUGUUGCGCCUACGGCCCAAGUUCCCUGGAAUGGGACGCCUGAGAGGGUGAGAGCCCCGUCGGCCGGACCGCGCACCUCCACGAGGCGCUUUCGUCGAGUCGCGUUGUUUGGGAAUGCAGCGUUAAUUGGGAGGUAAAUUCCUUCUAAGGCUAAAUACUGGCGAGAGACCGAUAGCGAACAAGUACUGCGAAGGAAAGAUGAAAAGGACUUUGAAAAGAGAGUUAAAUAGUACUUGAAAUUGUUGAGGGGGAAGCGGUUGGAAGUCGGGGUGCCCCGCUGCGUUAGGUCUUCUUACCGGGAGGCUCAUUCGUUAGCGGGGCCGGUCAGCGCGGGUUGGCGGGGCGGUACAAUCUUGCCGCCUCGUCGACUCCCGCUGGCGGAAGGCUUCCCACCGACCCGUCUAGAAACACGGACCAAGGCGUCUAACAUGUAUGCGAGUCGGCGGGUGGAAAACCCGUAGGCGCAAGGAAACUGACUGAACAGCAUCCACCGACCAUGAUCUUCUGUGAAAGGUUUGAGUGCGAGCAUACCUGUUGGGACCCGAAAGAUGGUGAACUAUGCGUGA